UCCAAUUGCCAUUCCUCGCUUGCUCAACCAUUCACUAUUUACCAUUCACCAUUUACUGAAUAAAUAAUGGGCAGCCUCAGAGACGUCCUGGUCCCCGACAUCGGCGAUUUCAAGAACAUCCCGGUAAUCGAGGUCCUGGUCAAACCGGGUGAUACCGUCAAGGCGGAAGACUCGCUGAUCACGCUCGAAUCCGACAAAGCGACGAUGGAAGUUCCGGCACCUUUCGCCGGCGUGGUCAAGGAAAUGAAGAUCAAGCCCGGCGACAAGGUUUCGGAAGGCGCGCCGAUCCUCAGCCUGGAAGUCAGUGACGGCGCGCCUGCUCCCGCAACCGCCGCCCCGCCGAAGCCCGCCGCU
Molecule: unclassified non-coding RNA, 354 nt
Filed under: uncultured bacterium
Lineage: Bacteria
Description: contains 16S-23S intergenic spacer region
Source: RNAcentral